Molecule: transfer RNA, 69 nt
Filed under: Rattus norvegicus (Norway rat)
Lineage: Eukaryota; Metazoa; Chordata; Mammalia; Rodentia; Muridae
Rfam family: tRNA
About the family: Transfer RNA (tRNA) molecules are approximately 80 nucleotides in length. Their secondary structure includes four short double-helical elements and three loops (D, anti-codon, and T loops).
Source: Rfam by way of RNAcentral
GGGGAUUUAGCUCAGUGGUAGAGCGCUUGCCUAGGAAGCGCAAGGCCCUGGGUUUGACCCCCAGCUCCG